UUCUCUUUGGAGACAUCUGAUAAAUUUGGAAAAAUACAUAGAAGAUUAACAUGCCUCCUGUGCAAGGACAACAAGGAUAACAGGAAUAAAUUGAGAAUUGUU
This 102-nucleotide small nuclear RNA is filed under the name Spinacia oleracea (spinach). The record is from RNAcentral. Lineage: Eukaryota; Viridiplantae; Streptophyta; Magnoliopsida; Caryophyllales; Amaranthaceae.